Molecule: ribosomal RNA, 254 nt
Filed under: uncultured bacterium
Lineage: Bacteria
Description: partial 16S ribosomal RNA
Rfam family: Bacterial small subunit ribosomal RNA
Source: RNAcentral
UACGAAGGGGGCUAGCGUUGCUCGGAAUCACUGGGCGUAAAGCGCACGUAGGCGGCUUUCUAAGUCAGGGGUGAAAUCCUGGAGCUCAACUCCAGAACUGCCUUUGAUACUGGGGAGCUUGAGUCCGGAAGAGGUGAGUGGAACUCCGAGUGUAGAGGUGAAAUUCGUAGAUAUUCGGAAGAACACCAGUGGCGAAGGCGGCUCACUGGUCCGGUACUGACGCUGAGGUGCGAAAAGCGUGGGGAGCAAACAGG